AACCUGGUUGAUCCUGCCAGUAGUCAUAUGCUUGUCUCAAAGAUUAAGCCAUGCAUGUCUAAGUAUAAGCACCUUAUACUGUGAAACUGCGAAUGGCUCAUUAAAUCAGUUAUCGUUUAUUUGAUGAUCUCUUGCUACUUGGAUACCCGUGGUAAUUCUAGAGCUAAUACAUGCGACAACACCCGACUUCUGGAAGGGUGGUAUUUAUUAGAUAAAAAACCUUCUCGCUUCGGCGAUGUCCCGGUGAUUCAUAAUAACUUUUCGAAGUGCAUGGCCUUGCGCCGGCGCUGGUUCAUUCCAAUUUCUGCCCUA
RNAcentral lists this ribosomal RNA (312 nucleotides) under uncultured marine eukaryote. Its description in RNAcentral is "SSU rRNA". It matches the Rfam family "Eukaryotic small subunit ribosomal RNA", at positions 1 to 314 of the family's 1831-position model. The record is from RNAcentral.